Haemorhous mexicanus (house finch) is the source of this 985-nucleotide long non-coding RNA. RefSeq lists it as uncharacterized. NCBI's taxonomy places the organism in Eukaryota, Metazoa, Chordata, Aves, Passeriformes, Fringillidae. The record is from RefSeq and is a predicted model, not a curated record. The transcript is spliced from 2 exons.
UGAGAGUCAGGAGCUUUUGUUAUCAUUCCAUUCUCUGCUUUCCUUUCAAGCCGUCUGAUGAAAUCCUUUCUUCUAUUCUUUUAGUACAGUUUUAAUAUAACAUACAUCAUAAAAUAAUAAAUCAGCCUUCUGAAACACGGAGUCAGCACUCUCGUCUCUUCCCUCGUCCUGGGACCCCCGUGAACAGCGCCACAAGAAGGCAGCACGAGAGCAAUCCUGGGACCCGAGGGAGGCAGAUGGGAUGGCGGAUGCAGGCUGUGGGGCAAGCCCAGCAGAGCCUUGGCGUCAGUGGAUCCGAAGGAAAACCCAAAGUCCCAAACCUCAAGUGUCAGCCAGAUAAAACCAUCCCAACAAGAGCCUGCUCCAGGACUGAGAGCCAGCAGGAGAUGAUUCUUCAUGCAGCAAAAUCCCCUGCCAGUGUGUUUCCAAAGAAAACAUCACUGGAGAGCACUGAGAGGGAAGCAGUGAGCAAACCCUGAGUUUGGUGCCCUGGACCAGCCCCCUCUUCCCCUGUUUUCCCCAGGAAAAGCCUCAGAAUAACAGAAAAUCCUCAAAUGUUUCUUUUCCUGCUUAUUUCUUUGGUUGUUCCAUUUUCUCAAUGACUGGAUAGGAAUUGCUGGGUGCCACCAACACCCAGCUGGUGCUCCAAGGUCCUCCCUGCCUUGGGAUGGACAAGAGGCAUCCUAGGCUGGAGCAAGGAAGGAGAGAGGUCCCAAAAUCCUGGGGGCAGGAGGGUGGAUCCUGCACUGAAGGUGUGCUGGUGACACUGCUGCAGUGUCCCUGUGGUCCCCUACAGGAGCUGGACACAGUUUCAGGUCUCAGGGUGGGACUGCUGGCAGCAUUCCCAUCACCAGCACUUCUUCAGCAAGCUGUGAAGGACAGCCCAGUUACCCCUCUAGGAGGAGUGCAUCCCACAGAUUAUUUCAUUCUUUGCCUUCCACUGUGUGCCUCUGAUACAAUAAAGAAUCAUUGACAACCAGUGGGA